GCCCGCUUGACGGAAUGGUAGACGUAGCGGACUUAAAAUCCGCGGCCCUACGGCGUGGGGGUUCGAGUCCCCCAGCGGGCACCA
Molecule: transfer RNA, 84 nt
Filed under: Rhodospirillales bacterium
Lineage: Bacteria; Pseudomonadati; Pseudomonadota; Alphaproteobacteria; Rhodospirillales
Description: tRNA-Leu
Rfam family: tRNA
About the family: Transfer RNA (tRNA) molecules are approximately 80 nucleotides in length.
Source: RNAcentral